Non-coding RNA from Schizosaccharomyces pombe (fission yeast), 559 nucleotides. The record is from the annotation of a GenBank genome assembly. Lineage: Eukaryota; Fungi; Ascomycota; Schizosaccharomycetes; Schizosaccharomycetales; Schizosaccharomycetaceae.
ACGACUUCAAUAAAUACGUUGAUAUGUUAUACUCUCUGAAAAGUUAUACAAACACUUGAUUUGCAAGGAUGUCUCACCAAACUACCAAAUUAACUGUUUAAUGACCCAGAAAAAGCGAAUCCACUGUGAAAACCGAAUAAAUUAAGAAAAUUUAGUAUUUAAAAAUCAAAUUUUAACAACUCUGUAGAAUGAAAGGAUUUUACCCUUUUACAAUGGUAUAAGCUACAAUGGACCAUAGACGGAAGUGGUCAAAGAGAUGAUUAUAUAGGAUGAUCAAUGCUCGAUGCAUGAUGUCAUCGACAAGGAGGCUGUAAUUAUAUCGAUAAACAGAAUAACGAGAGUUAGUGAAAUUUAAUACAUGGCCGAUUUUGAUGUAAAUAAAGGUUAGUGGACUUGCGAAGAAAGACAGACACAAUUGAGAAAAUAAAAAGAAAAAUAUUUUAAAAAAAAGAAACAAUACUAAAGAAAAUUGACUUGCAAAUGAAUUGUGAGAGACGUGGAUACAAAAGACGAAAAAGCAUCGGUGAAUUUAAAAGAACCAAAAAUGAGGCGAACAAUU